This 484-nucleotide ribosomal RNA is filed under the name uncultured bacterium. Its description in RNAcentral is "partial 16S ribosomal RNA". It matches the Rfam family "Bacterial small subunit ribosomal RNA", at positions 30 to 507 of the family's 1533-position model. The record is from RNAcentral.
AUUGAACGCUGGCGGCAGGCCUAACACAUGCAAGUCGAGCGGAUGAAGGGAGCUUGCUCCUGGAUUCAGCGGCGGACGGGCGAGUAAUGCCUAGGAAUCUGCCCGGUAGUGGGGGAUAACGUCCGGAAACGGGCGCUAAUACCGCAUACGUCCUGAGGGAGAAAGUGGGGGAUCUUCGGACCUCACGCUUUUAGAUGAGCCUAGGUCGGAUUAGCUAGUUGGUGAGGUAAAGGCCUACCAAGGCGACGAUCCGUAACUGGUCUGAGAGGAUGAUCAGUCACACUGGAACUGAGACACGGUCCAGACUCCUACGGGAGGCAGCAGUAGGGAAUCUUGGACAAUGGGCGAAAGCCUGAUCCAGCCAUGCCGCGUGUGUGAAGAAGGUCUUCGGAUUGUAAAGCACUUUAAGUUGGGAGGAAGGACAGUGAGUUAAUACCUGGCUGUUUUGACGGUACCAACAGAAUAAGCACCGGCUAACUUCGUG